Molecule: ribosomal RNA, 379 nt
Filed under: uncultured eukaryote
Lineage: Eukaryota
Description: partial 18S ribosomal RNA
Rfam family: Eukaryotic small subunit ribosomal RNA
Source: RNAcentral
CAAUAGCGUAUAUUUAAGUUGUUGCAGUUAAAAAGCUCGUAGUUGGAUUUCGGAUGGGAUUUGCCGGUCCGUCGUUACGAUGUGCACUGGCCAGUCCUAUCUUGUUGUCGGGGACUAGCUCCUUGGAUUCACUUCCUGGGACUAGGAGCUGACGAGGUUACUUUGAGGAAAUUAGAGUGUUCAAAGCAAGCCUACGCUCUGAAUACAUUAGCAUGGAAUAACACGAUAGGACUCUGGCUUAUCUUGUUGGUCUGUGAGACCAGAGUAAUGAUUAAGAGGGACAGUCGGGGACAUUCGUAUUUCAUUGUCAGAGGUGAAAUUCUUGGAUUUAUGAAAGACGAACUUCUGCGAAAGCAUUUGUCAAGGAUGUUUUCAUUAA